This 494-nucleotide ribosomal RNA is filed under the name uncultured bacterium. RNAcentral describes it as "partial 16S ribosomal RNA". It matches the Rfam family "Bacterial small subunit ribosomal RNA", at positions 28 to 507 of the family's 1533-position model. The record is from RNAcentral.
GACGAACGCUGGCGGCGCGCUUAACACAUGCAAGUCGAACGGAAAGGCCUGCUUUCCCUUGUGGAUUGCGGGUACUCGAGUGGCGAACGGGUGAGUAACACGUGAGUGAUCUGCCCCCAACUUGGGUAUAAGCCUGGGAAACUGGGUCUAAUUCCCGAUAGGACUGCAGGGUGGUGCCUGUGGUGGAAAACGAUUUUCUAGUGGCUGGGGAUGAGCUCGCGGCCUAUCAGCUUGUUGGUGGGGUAAUGGCCUACCAAGGCGGCGACGGGUAGCCGGCCUGAGAGGGUGGACGGUGACAUUGGGACUGAGAGACAGCCCAGAGCCAUACGGGAGGCAGCAGUGGGGAAUAUUGGACAAGGGGCGGAAGCCUGACGCAGCGACGCGGAGUGGGGGAUGACGGCCUUCGAGUUGUAAGCUCCUGUGGACGGCGAGGAAGCCACCUGGUUGGAAGGGUGGUGACGGUAGUGGUAGAGGAAGCACCGGCUAACUACGUG